This 252-nucleotide ribosomal RNA is filed under the name uncultured bacterium. RNAcentral describes it as "partial 16S ribosomal RNA". It matches the Rfam family "Bacterial small subunit ribosomal RNA", at positions 524 to 776 of the family's 1533-position model. The record is from RNAcentral.
UACGUAGGGUGCGAGCGUUGUCCGGAAUUACUGGGCGUAAAGAGCUCGUAGGUGGUUUGUCGCGUUGUUCGUGAAAACUCACAGCUUAACUGUGGGCGUGCGGGCGAUACGGGCAGACUGAGUACUGCAGGGGAGACUGGAAUUCCUGGUGUAGCGGUGGAAUGCGCAGAUAUCAGGAGGAACACCGGUGGCGAAGGCGGGUCUCUGGGCAGUAACUGACGCUGAGGCACGAAGGCCAGGGGAGCAAACGGG